RNAcentral lists this ribosomal RNA (513 nucleotides) under uncultured bacterium. RNAcentral's name for it is "partial 16S ribosomal RNA". It matches the Rfam family "Bacterial small subunit ribosomal RNA", at positions 28 to 507 of the family's 1533-position model. The record is from RNAcentral.
GACGAACGCUGGCGGCGUGCUUAACACAUGCAAGUCGAACGAAAAGAGGGAAAGAGCUUGCUCUUUCCGGAAUUGAGUGGCAAACGGGUGAGUAACACGUAAACAACCUGCCUUCAGGAUGGGGACAACAGACGGAAACGACUGCUAAUACCGAAUAAGUUCCAAGAGCCGCAUGGCCCAUGGAAGAAAAGGUGGCCUCUACCUGUAAGCUAUCGCCUGAAGAGGGGUUUGCGUCUGAUUAGCUGGUUGGAGGGGUAACGGCCCACCAAGGCGACGAUCAGUAGCCGGUAUGAGAGGAUGAACGGCCACACUGGAACUGAGACACGGUCCAGACUCCUACGGGAGGCAGCAGUGGGGAAUCUUCCGCAAUGGGCGAAAGCCUGACGGAGCAACGCCGCGUGAGUGAUGACGGCCUUCGGGUUGUAAAACUCUGUGAUCCGGGACGAAAAGGCAGAGUGCGAAGAACAAACUGCAUUGACGGUACCGGAAAAGCAAGCCACGGCUAACUACGUG